UACGUAGGGUGCAAGCGUUAAUCGGAAUUACUGAGCGUAAAGCGUGCGCAGGCGGUUUCGUAAGUCUGUCGUGAAAGCCCCGGGCUCAACCUGGGAAUUGCAUUCGAGACUGAAUAGCUAGGGUGCGGUAGAGGGAAGCGGAAUUUCCGGUGUAGCGGUGAAAUGCGUAGAUAUCGGAAGGAACAUCAGUGGCGAAAGCGGCUUCCUGGACCAGCACCGACGUUCAGGCACGAAAGCGUGGGGAGCAAACAGG
RNAcentral lists this ribosomal RNA (253 nucleotides) under uncultured bacterium. RNAcentral's name for it is "partial 16S ribosomal RNA". It matches the Rfam family "Bacterial small subunit ribosomal RNA", at positions 524 to 776 of the family's 1533-position model. The record is from RNAcentral.